RNAcentral lists this ribosomal RNA (460 nucleotides) under uncultured bacterium. RNAcentral's name for it is "partial 16S ribosomal RNA". It matches the Rfam family "Bacterial small subunit ribosomal RNA", at positions 338 to 795 of the family's 1533-position model. The record is from RNAcentral.
CCUACGGGAGGCAGCAGUGAGGCAUAUUGGUCAAUGGGCGCGAGCCUGAACCAGCCAAGUAGCGUGAAGGAUGACUGCCCUACGGGUUGUAAACUUCUUUUAUAAAGGAAUAAAGUGCGGCACGUGUUCCUUUUUGUAUGUACUUUAUGAAUAAGGAUCGGCUAACUCCGGGCCAGCAGCCGCGGUUAUACGGAGGAUCCGAGCGUUAUCCGGAUUUAGUGGGUUUAAAGGGAGCGUAGAUGGGUUGUUAAGUCAGUUGUGAAAGUUUGCGGCUCAACCGUAAAAUUGCAAUGGAUACUGGCAGCCUUGAGUACAGUUGAGGUAGGCGGAAUUCGUGGUGUAGCGGUGAAAUGCUUAGAUAUCACGAAGAACACCGAUGGCGAAGGCAGCUUACUAAACUGCCACUGACAUUGAGGCUCGAAAGUGUGGGUAUCAAACAGGAUUAGAUACCCGAGUAGUC